Molecule: ribosomal RNA, 500 nt
Filed under: Bifidobacterium longum subsp. infantis
Lineage: Bacteria; Bacillati; Actinomycetota; Actinomycetes; Bifidobacteriales; Bifidobacteriaceae
Description: bacterial SSU rRNA
Rfam family: Bacterial small subunit ribosomal RNA
Source: RNAcentral
UCUCCUGGAAAACGGGUGGUAAUGCCGGAUGCUCCAGUUGAUCGCAUGGUCUUCUGGGAAAGCUUUCGCGGUAUGGGAUGGGGUCGCGUCCUAUCAGCUUGACGGCGGGGUAACGGCCCACCGUGGCUUCGACGGGUAGCCGGCCUGAGAGGGCGACCGGCCACAUUGGGACUGAGAUACGGCCCAGACUCCUACGGGAGGCAGCAGUGGGGAAUAUUGCACAAUGGGCGCAAGCCUGAUGCAGCGACGCCGCGUGAGGGAUGGAGGCCUUCGGGUUGUAAACCUCUUUUAUCGGGGAGCAAGCGAGAGUGAGUUUACCCGUUGAAUAAGCACCGGCUAACUACGUGCCAGCAGCCGCGGUAAUACGUAGGGUGCAAGCGUUAUCCGGAAUUAUUGGGCGUAAAGGGCUCGUAGGCGGUUCGUCGCGUCCGGUGUGAAAGUCCAUCGCUUAACGGUGGAUCCGCGCCGGGUACGGGCGGGCUUGAGUGCGGUAGGGGAGA